GGAGAGCUGGGGAUCACACCAUGCUGGGUGGGGGGUGCAGGAGAAGAGGAUUGGUUCACAGAGCUAUACAUCCUGCAUCAAACAGCAGCUCAAUUUUGAACCUGGUAUUACCAAGAGCAGUGGUUCUUAGAGUUCAGUGUCCCUCUCAGCUGCAACACCAGGAACUUGAGAGAAAAGCAAAUUCCCUGGCCUCACCCAGAUCUGCUGAAUCAGAAACUCUGCAGUCAACUCUACAGACUUAGUCCUGACAUCCUGACUGAUGCUCAGAUGCUAAAGGUGGUGGAGGCCCCACAUGGAUGAGACCGUUAGCAAAUUACACCUCGCUGGGUCUGUCUUUCCAGAAUCUAGUAGAUUACAAAACACUUCAAUGGUUUCAGCGUGGCUGUUGGCUCUUCCCUUCUAUGGAUUCAAUCCUGUGAAAAGUGUGAAGCCAUGGAUCCUUCAAGCUAUA
Long non-coding RNA from Manis pentadactyla (Chinese pangolin), 451 nucleotides. RefSeq lists it as uncharacterized. NCBI's taxonomy places the organism in Eukaryota, Metazoa, Chordata, Mammalia, Pholidota, Manidae. The record is from RefSeq and is a predicted model, not a curated record. The transcript is spliced from 3 exons.